Molecule: long non-coding RNA, 1226 nt
Filed under: Cyanistes caeruleus (blue tit)
Lineage: Eukaryota; Metazoa; Chordata; Aves; Passeriformes; Paridae
Description: lncRNA (ENSCCEG00000018773.1)
Source: RNAcentral
UCUCCCUGCUGGGCCCAGCUGGGGCAGAGGCCGUGGGCAGCAGAGCUGAGGGCAGGCACCUGCAUGUGCUCAUCUGCAUCCUUCCCUUGCCAAAAAUCAGCAUUUCUACCUUCUUGUAAAUGCGAGGGCUCCUGGAGGAUGUGCAUCCCUGCUAGGAGGUUCUGCCUGAUGCUCAGCUUAAUGUAUUCCCUGCACAGUUUUGUGCCAUUAUUCCUAGUUAAACUCUCCUGGAUCACCCAGAACAUGAGGAAUGCGCAGCAGCUUCCCACAGCACAGCAUAAUUAGCUGCUUCAAAAACUACCUGCAAAGAGUGAUGCCCUCAUUAUGCCGAGCAGAGGAGGCUUUGGUGGGGCGAGAUGUCUCCAGGAAGGAGAUGCAUUUCUCUUCAGAGCAAGAGCAAGAGGCAGCCCGGGCCCUCCUGCUGUUCCCUUCAUCACUGGUUUCCUCAGGAGCCUGAAGGCACCUGGCAGAGCCCCAUGAUGGAAGCAAACACCUUGGAGCAUCCAUUACUUCAUGGUGAUUAAAGUAAAACCUCCUGGUUCGUGUGCUGCAGGAAUUAAGCCAGGAAAUAGCCACCAGUGUUGUUUAAAAAUGCUUUAUUUGCUAUUUUGCUGCAAAACAGGUGAGUGGGUGCUGAUUUAGUCAGCCCUGAUGGUGGAGGUUCCUGGGAGCCCAUCACAUUCCCAGCCACCCUCAGCUGGAAUCCUUCCCUGCCACCAUGGGGAGAACAAGCCUGGUCCAUCAGUGGUUCUUUAUUCUCUGAUAAAACAAAGAAGCUGGCCUUGGGUUGAGAGCUGGCCUUGAUUUUUCCCACUUUAUUCCUGGAAUCCAGAGCUGGCCAAGAAGUCUCCAGUGCCUGUCUGUCUGAUCACAACAACCCUUGAUGUUCCUGCGGCGUUUCUCGUCAAGGAUCUCUGAGUGCUCUGCAAACAAAACCUCAGUAAGCCUUCUAUGAGCCCUCUGGGGUGGGUAUUAUGCUCCUGACUUAGCAGAUGAGUAAACAAAGGCACAGCAGCUCAAGUUUUCUGUGUUCAGAGCACUUUGUCAAUAUUACCUGAUUAAUCCUCACACCAGCCUUGCCUGGGGAGCUUUGGGCCCCUUCAGGGGCAGAGCAGAGUCACAGUGGGGAUGUCCUGAGUGCCACUGAUUGGGGUCAGCACACUGAAUAACGGGGUGGUGGCAGCUGAGCCAUGAGUCAGGGAAUGAUGGAAUGUCCAGAGCUGAAG